Long non-coding RNA from Ornithorhynchus anatinus (platypus), 1153 nucleotides. RefSeq lists it as uncharacterized. The transcript is spliced from 3 exons. The record is from RefSeq and is a predicted model, not a curated record. Lineage: Eukaryota; Metazoa; Chordata; Mammalia; Monotremata; Ornithorhynchidae.
CCCAGCAGAGGCACGCAAUUGUAUUUUUCAUUAGAAAGCUCUUAGACAAGGCAAACAUUGAAACCUAUCUAAAAGAUGAAGAUCUUGGUAGAAUCUUUCCAAGACCUCUUGGCUCUCGAAUCCAGAACUGACUUCAGUACCUGGCCCCUGGGAUCAGAGCUCAGCAUGAAAGAAAGCCGGACAUCAUCCAAGUCGAGCAGUGAAUGGAUGAAGUGGGAGCGUUCCACUUUCAAAACGAAAUGACCGCCCAUCUUGUGCCAAACCUGACGGAAAUUAGUCGACGGACUGAUCUGACUCCAGAAGAUCGUGGGGAACCACAUUCUGAGCCCGCGGGUUCUGAUUGCAAGUGAAAUCGCAACACCUCUUUCCCGCUCUGGUCAACCCUCCUCCCUGCCACAUCUGGAAGGAGCCGAGCCAGGGGACCCCGGCAGAAGACCCUUUUACCCUCGGCUGUGGUGGCAAAUCCAUUAGAACCCUCCCACCCCAGGAAAGGAUUGGAAGAGGCUACUGAAUGCCGGCAGCAGGGAUGAUGCCAGCCUUUUGUGUUUUGGAUGGCGAUCAUGCUAAAGGGCAACAAACCCCUCUCCUGUUGGUCCUCUGUGGGCAUCCCUCCCUCACAAACGCUCACUUGUUCCCGGUCCCAGGCAUCCCCGGCUUCCGACGCCAUGACCUCAGGAUUCCUGCAGCUGCGGGGUGAAUGGGAGCAUUUUCUCACUGAGCUGAGCUUCUGAGUAGCCUUGGGUGGCACAGAAUCCUGGCAUUCAUGCAUGCUGUCAAGUUGUCAAGACAUCUGAUUCAAAGCUUUCUGAAAAAGCGGCUCCUUGUCUAACCCAUCGCUUGGAGGAAGCCAAGCCCCACGAGGGACAGAGGAGCGGCAGGGGGAGGUGCAGAGAGCACGGCAGCCAGCCCAGAAGAUUGCUGUAGAGACAUAAAUGUUUUCCUUUGCCUUCUCUUUAUGAUUCCGCACUGCCUGCGGGGAAGAGUUUCCGGGAGUCAAUGUCAAAGACCUCUUGGUGGCAGAUGCCGGGUCCGAUGUGGUCAUUGAGUGGCCAACUGCUUCGAAGUUAGCUUUGCAGAAGUAAUACUAUACUACUACUACUAACUGUGAUAUUUGUUAAGCACUUACUAUGUGCCAGGCACUGUCGUAAGCACU